This 250-nucleotide ribosomal RNA is filed under the name uncultured prokaryote. Its description in RNAcentral is "partial 16S ribosomal RNA". It matches the Rfam family "Bacterial small subunit ribosomal RNA", at positions 524 to 773 of the family's 1533-position model. The record is from RNAcentral.
UACGUAGGGGGCAAGCGUUAUCCGGAUUUACUGGGCGUAAAGGGCGUGUAGGCGGCUUUGCAAGUCAGAGGUGAAAUUCCUGGGCUCAACCCGGGCGCUGCUUCUGAAACUGUAGAGCUUGAGUGCUGGAGGGGAUAGCGGAAUUCCUAGUGGAGCGGUAAAAUGCGUAGAUAUUAGGAAGAACACCGGUGGCGAAGGCGGCUAUCUGGACAGUAAUUGACGCUGAGGCGCGAAAGCGUGGGGAGCAAAC